UUCCGGUUGAUCCUGCCGGACCCGACUGCUAUUUGGGUGAGGAUAAGCCAUGCGAGUUGAAUGGGAUACCUAAAGUUCCCAUAGCAACCUGCUCAGUAACACAUGAUCAACUUGCCCUAUAGAGAAAAAUAACCUCGGGAAACUGAGGAUAAUGUUUCAUAACUGAAUUGGCUUGGAAAAGUUUUUCAGUGAAAGGGAUAAAAUAAAUGGUUUUUAUCUGCUAUAGGAUAGGAUCGUGUUCGAUUAUGGUUGUUGGUGAGGUAAUGGCUCACCAAGCCGAUAAUCGAUAGGGGCCGUGAGAGCGGGAGCCCCGAGAUGGGUACUGAGACAACGACCCAGGCCUUACGAGGCGCAGCAGGCGCGAAACCUCCGCAAUACACGAAAGUGUGACGGGGUUACCCAAAGUGUUCAAUUUUGAACUGUGGUAGGUGAGUAAUGUUCCCUACUAGAAAGGAGAGGGCAAGGCUGGUGCCAGCCGCCGCGGUAAAACCAGCUCUUCAAGUGGUCGGGAUAAUUAUUGGGCUUAAAGUGUCCGUAGCCGGUUUAGUAAGUUCCUGGUAAAAUCGGGUAGCUUAACUAUCUAUAUGCUAGGAUACUGCUAUACUAGAGGGCGGGAGAGGUCUGAGGUACUACAGGGGUAGGGGUGAAAUCUUAUAAUCCUUGUAGGACCACCAGUGGCGAAGGCGUCAGACUGGAACGCGCCUGACGGUGAGGGACGAAAGCCAGGGGAGCGAACCGGAUUAGAUACCCGGGUAGUCCUGUCCGUAAACGAUGCAUACUAGGUGAUGGCACGGGCCAUGAGCCGUGUCAGUGCCGUAGGGAAGCCGUUUAAGUGUGCCGCCUGGGAAGUACGUCGCAAGGCUAAAACUUAAAGGAAUUGGCGGGGAAGCACACAAGGGGUGAGCUGCGAUCAUGAUCACGCGU
Molecule: ribosomal RNA, 924 nt
Filed under: uncultured archaeon
Lineage: Archaea
Description: bacterial SSU rRNA
Rfam family: Archaeal small subunit ribosomal RNA
Source: RNAcentral